CUUAGAAAUCUGUGGAAUCUGUAUAGAAAGUAUGGGGUGCCCUUCGGGGAGCCGCAAGACAGGUGCUGCAUGGCUGUCGUCAGCUCGUGUCGUGAGAUGUUGGGUUAAGUCCCGCAACGAGCGCAACCCUUGUCUUCAGUUGCCAGCACGUAAAGGUGGGAACUCUGAAGAUACUGCCCCGGUUAACGGGGAGGAAGGUGGGGAUGACGUCAAGUCCUCAUGGCCCUUAUGCCCAGGGCUACACACGUGCUACAAUGGCAUAUACAAAGGGUCGCGAUACCGCGAGGUGGAGCUAAUCCCAUAAAACCGAUCGUAGUCCGGAUCGCAGUCUGCAACUCGACUGCGUGAAGUCGGAAUCGCUAGUAAUCGUGAAUCAGAAUGUCACGGUGAAUACGUUCCCGGGCCUU
Molecule: ribosomal RNA, 407 nt
Filed under: uncultured Desulfobotulus sp.
Lineage: Bacteria; Pseudomonadati; Thermodesulfobacteriota; Desulfobacteria; Desulfobacterales; Desulfobacteraceae
Description: bacterial SSU rRNA
Rfam family: Bacterial small subunit ribosomal RNA
Source: RNAcentral